GGCUUAAUUUGACUCAACGCGGGAAAUCUCACCAGGCCCGGACACUGGAAGGAUUGACAGAUUGAGAGCUCUUUCUCGAUUCGGUGGGUGGUGGUGCAUGGCCGUUCUUAGUUGGUGGAGUGAUUUGUCUGGUUAAUUCCGAUAACGAACGAGACUCUGUCCUGCUAAAUAGUUUUCGCGUUUCCAUUGGCGCGAAAAUUUCUUCUUAGAGGGACUGGGGGCAUAUAGCCUCACGAGAUUGAGCAAUAACAGGUCUGUGAUGCCC
This 265-nucleotide ribosomal RNA is filed under the name uncultured eukaryote. RNAcentral's name for it is "partial 18S ribosomal RNA". It matches the Rfam family "Eukaryotic small subunit ribosomal RNA", at positions 1187 to 1472 of the family's 1831-position model. The record is from RNAcentral.